RNAcentral lists this non-coding RNA (102 nucleotides) under Tepidibacillus decaturensis. RNAcentral describes it as "Purine riboswitch aptamer". It matches the Rfam family "Purine riboswitch aptamer". From Rfam's summary of the family: Riboswitches are metabolite binding domains within certain messenger RNAs that serve as precision sensors for their corresponding targets. Allosteric rearrangement of mRNA structure is mediated by ligand binding, and this results in modulation of gene expression. The record is from Rfam by way of RNAcentral. RNAcentral also lists the same sequence under 1 other name. Lineage: Bacteria; Bacillati; Bacillota; Bacilli; Caryophanales; Bacillaceae.
AAUUCAAUCAUAUCUGUUCUUCGUAUAUGUCUGAGAAUAAGGCUCAGAUGUCUCUACCGAGCGACCGUAAAUUGCUUGACUACGAAGGGAUCAGACCUGUUA